CAUGCUUAAUGCAGUUUAAAAGGAGAAGCUCUAUUAUUCAUCUGAGAAUGGAACUUGAGUGUUGGACGCAAACCUUUUGAUUGAUUAUUGAGCUGAGUGACGCUGAGUGAGUCAGCUAAUCUCAGAGAAGCGACCUCAAGAACCCCUAACAGCAGUUUGACUUACAUCAUAUUUGGCCUCAAGAAUCGUUAACUGAGUAAUUCUCCUGUACAAGGAAGAGCUUAAGAAGCCUCCUGUACUCCUUCAAGUAGGAUGGCUUUGGCUGAUGUCUCAGAAGCAGUGAAUCAUGUGGUACCAUGUGCCCAUGCUUUCCUCAUGACUCAUCCAUUUCUCAACUGG
This is a long non-coding RNA of Ochotona princeps (American pika), 339 nucleotides long. RefSeq lists it as uncharacterized. NCBI's taxonomy places the organism in Eukaryota, Metazoa, Chordata, Mammalia, Lagomorpha, Ochotonidae. The record is from RefSeq and is a predicted model, not a curated record. The transcript is spliced from 3 exons.